AACUAGCAUCCCUCUGCUCUCCUCAUUAGCAGUUUCUCUCCUCUUUUCUCAUCACAUCUGCCCACUCUUUCCUCUCCUUUUUGGCUACUUUUUGUUCUUUCAACUCAAAAGAUGGGUUAUCAUUUUUGACAUUAUUUUUCUGCAGAUUUUAGAUUUCCCCUAAGAUGACUGGGAAGGGAUUCUACAAGGAGCAGACUUCUGCCUUUUUUAGGCCUCCACGAUGUAUAGAAGCGACCUAAACCAGGUGCACAGACUCUGCAAACCUCUCGUCAUGCCUGGGCGGAACAUGAAACGGACCCUCCGGCUGGAAGGGCGAGUGCUGUGUGGGCUUCCUGAAGUGGUGCAGCACUGGGUCAUCGGAGAGCCGCAGUGCCUGUUUGGGAACGGAGCAGCAAUCUGUGUUAUUUCAGCAACAGCCUGUUGGAUGGAGGGCCCUUCCAUGGGCAUUAUGGAUUAAUCUUUGGCAGGAUCUCAGUUGGAUCAGCCCAAAAAUGGGAUGUUUAACCUCACGUGUACCACAACUCCUGUGAUAAAGCAGGAUAGAGAGGAUUGUGUGUGACCCACAUUGGGACUGUGUUCUAAAUGUAUUACCUGUAUUGACUGUUGAAUGUAUGCACUGCGGGUUGCAUUAUAUAGUCUGCAAAUCUGCAAUGUUAAUCCAGAGUAAAGGCCACCAUUUUUACCUUCUGUAUUAUUAUUGGUAUAAUUUUCAGAUGUACCAAUCAGUAGCCCAGAAAUCAAAGUCAGCUUUUUUUUUCUCAUUUUAUUUGGCUCCGAUUAGUUACUGGUGGGUUAAUAUACUAAAAAAGCUUUUUUUCCACUCAUUCAUUAAGCCAAAUUUGCCCUUUUUAUGCUUUAUAAACUCAGUGACCAAUUGUAUAUUCUUCAUUCUCAUUGCUGAGUAUGAAAAAUCAGAUAAAAGAUAGUGGUACGUGUUUAAUGGAGAUAAUAGUAUUUAUUCAUUUUCUGUCUGAUUACCAGUCCCUAUAAAAGAUUCUGGAGAACAAUUAUUUUAUCUGCUGUUAUGUUCUGCAGUCCUUAUAAAACAAAAAGAAAAAGUAGAAUCUGUUAAAGUCCAAUGUCAAAAUUGUCUUGAGAAACCUAUAAGACAAUAGGAAUUUGAUCUACAGUUCAGGAGAAGGCUUCAUGUGUUUCAUAUUUCUGUUAAAAUACAGUUUUAAAAGUAAACUUGAACUUUAUUUCAGGCAUAUCAAAUAUUUUAUUUACAAAAUAGGUGUGUGAAAUGUGAGAUAUUUUUCAGCUGACACAAGGCCAAAAGUCAAGGAUUCCCCAUCUAGUGUCCAAAACAAACAUUUCCUCAGUGUGGCCUCGUCAGAAUCUCCUUCCUGAGCUGCUGUUACUGCUUUUAGUUUAUGUGUCUCUGCAGCUUAUUUUCUCCUUUUUAUGUGUCAUGGUCCUUAAACCAAAAAAGGGGAAUCAGCAGGUCAGAUUUCAAAGAAAACUGGAAAUCAGAGUCAACCAGGAGAAGCUCUACAGUAUCGGUGAGCCUUUAACCACUUUUAGUCAUCAGGUUUCUUAUUUCUCCACUCGGUCAUUUAUUGACAACUUUUUGAACUAUGAGGCAGCAUUUAUUCAUCCAUCUUUUAAUCAGUUUCUCUAAUGAAAACAGGUUUUCAGCUAAAAUCUCCCAUUUUGGACCUCCCUUGUUUUAAAUUGUUUAUCAUACAGGCCUAAGUGGAGAGUCGUCUUCCUGUUUGUUUUAACAUCAGGGAGGUCUAAAUAUAAAAGCCAAGAACUACAUCUACAAGCCUAGAUUUACACAUAUAUUUUAAUGAUUUAAUAUGUUCUCUUGUCUUGUCAGAAACAAAUUUAGCGUAAAAAGUAAAAAAAAAUUUUAACAGACAUUUUACUGAACAGUUGCACAGCAGCCUUUAAAGAAUGUCACAGAUUAGACAUCAGAAGGAGUUUUCACUGAAAAUCUGAUUUUAACUCUGUACUCUUAAUCCAGACUCAGUGGUCACAAGAUUAUGACCCGUGACAGUCUGACUGUGAUUAAACGGUAACUAAAGCUUAACUGCAUGGUCACUCUCUCUUUGAAUGAGAAUAUUACUAAAACAUGUGUGUUCAGAUUACAUUCAGCGGAUAAUCAACACCCUACAUUAAUCAUAAAAACAGUUUAAAAGCCCAGGCAACACUGAAAUAUGCUUCAGAGGGGCAGUUCUUUGUUUAAAAUCCAGCAUCAAACCUGAAACCUUGAUCACAAAACUCCGUUAUAUAAACAUCUGCAGGUUCUUAGAAACGCUCUGUUUAGAUUGUGUUUCAGCACUACAAAGGUAGGUAUGUCUUUUCAUGAAGGAGUUUACAAGUACUUGCUGCUUUACAGUGGUGCGCUCCCGAGAAGGUGAGGGCUUUAAUGUGCAAUUGCCAUCUAACAAAAACAUGAUUAUGUCAGACACUAGGUGUACCAUUCUCUCUGUUCAAAGAGGUUUUGUGAUCAUAUAUUUUAAUGCAUUUUAUCAAAGAUUCCCUUUUUAGCUUCUGAACCCUCCAACAAAUGCUGUAGUGUUAGAUAUUCAGAAUACGUAGAGGAAAGAUUGGAUUUUCUGCGUUUUUAGAGGAACAUGCAGAUCGGGAGACCUCUGAUCACAAGCCCAUAACCUGACAAAUAAUUACAAAAGCUCCCCACUGAUUUAUGUUUGAUUCUGUAAUUAAAAUAAGUGAAUGAGAAAUCACCCUGUUUCCCUAUACUGACUCAUAGAUUCAUGAUUUGUUGCUGUUCUGCUUGUGCAAUUGUGCUCCUGACAGUCACAUGACCCGUGUGAACUCAUUUUUGACUUUAAAACCUCUUGGCUCUGUGUUUAUCCGAGUGACAGCAGUAAUUCUCAGCGUGGUUUGAAAGCAAUUCAAAAAUGCAGUCAAUCAUGUUGCAACCUCAUGACACAGGGUGGAGUCAUGUUGCUGAUGGGCUUGAUGCAUUGCUGUGACGCUUAAGUGAGAGGGCAGUUGAAUUAAGUGUUUCAGAGAGAGUUAGGCCUUCAGAGCUCUAUUCCAUCAGUGCAUGGCAAAUAUAGGUUAAUGAGGUGGGGUGUAGGCCCAGGACAGGAUGAUGCCCUACCUUUGUUUACAGGUGACAUUGCAACGUAUUGCAUAUUAGCGGACUUCAUCAGCUCUACACCUUUUAUUGCAGCAAAUAAGAGAUCAACACUAACGAUGGGACUUGCAAUGCAUACUGAAAUUUUAUAUGAGAGCCUUUUUCCUAACUCUAUUAACACUGAACCACAUAGAAAGUCAUCUGAAAAUGAAAAGCUCUGAUCUCAAAACAAAAGGGAGAUCACACUAUUUGCUUAGAGGACCACAUCUAUGCUCACUAAUAGGUUUCAUUGGCUCAAUCUGUUUUCCAGUGGAGUUGGGGAACAGGUCUGUUUUAAAUCUGAUGCCAGGAUGGUUUUUGAAGAUAACUCUGAAAGGUUUGAUCAUUUCAUACACCAGUUUUUGCUAAUUGCCAAAAACCACUCAAAUGCCAUAAUUUACUCCAAUAAUUGCUCAAUUUAUCAAGUAUUAUCCUUGACAAAUCCAAUCUGGAUUGAUUCUGUUGUGUGGUGUUUUGGUAAGCAUCAACUCUCAAGCAGCUCAGACAAGCACAGACUUAAGUUUUACUCUGAUGCAGGUAAUCCACACAUGAAAGCUGCUCAGACCUGCUGAACUACUUGGUAAAUCGCCUGCAGACAUAAUCUGAAUGCUUUAUUUUUCCAAUGGAACAAGUUGUGAGAAAAACAAAAGCUGCUUCUGAAUGUCACUGACAUUUUACCAGCUGACUAUUGAAUUUCUUUAGUGAGUGUAUCACCAACAACUAAACUAAUCAUUAACUAACCAAUUUUUCUGAGUGUAUUUUAUCUCUUUGUGAAUGAGUUUUGUGAUGCUCUCUGGUCAGGAACAUAUUUUCAAGUCCAGCAGAACAUUUAGUAUCUUUCUAUGGCAGCGGUUAACAAAGUUAGGGUUUGGGUGUAAAGUUUAAAUAAUAUAAUCAGUAAAAUAUAUGUAUGCAAUGAAUAUAAUAAAGUGUUUUAACUUGG
Molecule: long non-coding RNA, 4034 nt
Organism: Cyprinodon tularosa
Lineage: Eukaryota; Metazoa; Chordata; Actinopteri; Cyprinodontiformes; Cyprinodontidae
Exons: 2
Source: RefSeq, a predicted model, not a curated record